Molecule: microRNA precursor, 80 nt
Filed under: Tupaia belangeri chinensis (Chinese tree shrew)
Lineage: Eukaryota; Metazoa; Chordata; Mammalia; Scandentia; Tupaiidae
Description: Tupaia chinensis (Chinese tree shrew) mir-150 microRNA precursor family
Rfam family: mir-150 microRNA precursor family
Source: Rfam by way of RNAcentral
GUCCUCGUCCCUGUCUCCCAACCCUCGUACCAGGGCCAUGCUCAGACCCUGGUGCAGGGAUGGGGGGCAGGGCCGUGGGG